GCCGGCAGCCUCUGCAUCUCCACCCUGGGCCUGUGGGACCACGCGGGGCUCUCAGACGGCUUCCCACUGGCUGUGGGCUGAAGACAGGAGGGAGGUGCGCAGAGAUGAGGAUGAGGUGCCCUAGGAGGGGCCCCUCUCCAGCCUGGAGUGUCCACUGCAAGUGGAGUCCUAGACGGCGGUGGGCAGCCAGUAGUCACUAAAGAGUCUGACACGACAUGUCACAAGCCCUGCCCGGAACCCUGUUCCCACAAAUGGUGGGGAAGGACCACCCCUGGGAGUAUUUCCUGGGAGCCUCUAAGUGCAUCUGCGGAGAAGGCUGGAAAGCAGGGCCCUGCUGGUCCAGAAGCUCUGACCAGCGGGAAGCUACUGGAGCCCAGCGUGGUCCCGCAGGCCCGGGGUGGAGACUCAGGGGCUGGUCGGUGCCACUCGUGGUCCCCCAGGCCAGAGCAGCCCAGGCCUCUGCUGGAAACUCAAGCGCUCUCUGAUUUAAAUGAAGACGCCUUGAAGAGCUCCGGCUGUCCUGGAUGGAUGAAGCAGCAUAGGCAUGACUUGGAAGGAUGUGCGGUGGAAGGGGGGUCGCUUCACUGCCAAGAAACCCUUCCUGAGUCUUCUGGAAAUUUCAGGAAAGGCUGCUCAUCCCAGGAGGCUGAAAAAAGCAUGUUGGUAGUGAGAUGUGGAAGGCCACGCAGCUGUAGUGCACUCACUGUCGCAGCCUAACGGUGCCACACGGACCCGUAAGAGGACGCACAACUGUCAGCUGACUCCGUCACUGGGAAAAACAACACGACAGGGUCUCACUCUGCUGCCUAGGCUGCAAUGCGGUGGCACGACCAUGGCUCAGUGCGUCCUCAACUCCUGGGCUCAAGUGAUCCUCCCACCUCGGCCUCCUGAGUAGCUGGGACUACAGUUGCACACCACCAGAUCCGACUAAUUUGCAGUUCUGUCCGGCGUACAGUGUGAGAUGGGAAUCAACUUUUGUCUUCAUCCAGAUGGGGUUUUAAAACCUUACAAUGCUGGCCGGACGCGGUGGCUCAUGCCUGUAAUCCCAACACUUUGGGAGGUUGAGGCAGGUGGAUCACCUGAGGUCAGGAGUUCAAGACCAGCCUGGCCAACAUGGUAAAACCCAUCUCUACUAAAACUACAAAAAUUAGCCAGGCAUAGUGGCGAGUGUCUGUAGUCCCAGCUACUCGGGAGGCUGAGGCAGGAGAAUCGCUUGAACCCAGGAGAUGGAGGUUGCAGUGAGCCAAGCAAGAUCAAGCUACUGCACUCCAGCCUGGGCAACAGAGCGAGACUCCAUCUCAAAACAAACAAACAAACAGAAAAACUUUACAAUGCUGAUAAACUUAAAAAUUAUGAAACACAGCUCUUCUUGUCCUCCUGGGGCGCCCCCCAUCACCCCCAUCACAGCCCAGCCUUCUUCUGCUCCUCUCUGUUCUGAGGGAACUUCCCAUCCUUGUCUUUUUAUGGCCGUCUCAGCAUUUUCCCAGGUGUGUGGCUGUCCCUAAGUUAACCCCGGUUUAGCACACGGGAUGUGAUGCUGAGUGAUGGGAGUUCCUCAGAUAAAAGUGGCGGAUCUUCUUUGACUCAUCUUUUCCUUCCUCCCUCUCUAUCUCAAAUUAGAGUGAGAUCAAAUAUAGUGAAAAUGUUACUAGAGACUUUGGGUUUUAAAUCUCUGUAAACCCAGUGAAACACACUAUUUCUGGGGUGUGCACGAUGUGGUCAGUUAGUUACAAAUGCCUUUUUAUCUAGUGAGAGGUGUUUGGGCAAUCCAUGUGCACACAGAGGAGCGUUUCUGGUGAUUUGAUCAAAUCCAAGUGAGCUAGCUCGUUAGUACCUGUGGCAAGUUUAGAACUUCUGAACUCACAAACAUAUUAAGAAAUUUCCUAGGUUCACAGUGAUUUUUGGUAAACAUGAAUUUAAGUACCAAAAGAGGCAGAAUAAUAGUUUGCAAAGUUGUGUUUCCUUUGAGCUUCUGACUCAAAAGUUACAUCAAAGAUGUCCCUGCCUACCCUUAAUAUUUAAGUAAUGGAAUAAAGCUUAAGGGCCCCGAGACUCAGGAGGAUGCCCACAGGGAGAGGCAGGUAGCGCAGCACCUGGCAUUUAGUGGCUCAGCCCUGGAAUGCUAGAGCCUUGGGUUUUCCUUACAAUUGGGAUGGGAUUGGCCACACCUAUCAACAAUUUCUGUUCACUAGCCAAUUAUAAGAAGUUUAUGCAUGCCUAGACCAUUAAAAAAAAAGAAAAGAAACGUUCGGGGGGCCUGACUUUGUUAGCAUGGCCAAAUGAUCUGUUUUUAAUGUAAAUAUUUUGCUACAUUAAAGUUAUCAAAUCAAAG
This 2332-nucleotide long non-coding RNA is filed under the name Homo sapiens (human). RNAcentral describes it as "HSALNT0083434". Lineage: Eukaryota; Metazoa; Chordata; Mammalia; Primates; Hominidae. The record is from RNAcentral.